UACGGGAGGCAGCAGUGGGGAAUAUUGCACAAUGGGCGCAAGCCUGAUGCAGCCAUGCCGCGUGUAUGAAAAAGGCCUUCGGGGUUGUAAAGUACUUUCAGUCGUGAGGAAGGUGUUAAGGUUAAUAACCUUAGCAAUUGACGUUAGCGACAGAAGAAGCACCGGCUAACUCCGUGCCAGCAGCCGCGGUAAUACGGAGGGUGCGAGCGUUAAUCGGAAUUACUGGGCGUAAAGGGCACGCAGGCGGUUAAUUAAGUUGGAUGUAAAAUCCCCGGGCUUAACCUGGGAAUGGCAUUCAAGACUGGUUAGCUAGAGUCUUGUAGAGGGGGUAGAAUUCCAUGUGUAGCGGUGAAAUGCGUAGAGAUGUGGAGGAAUACCGGUGGCGAAGGCGGCCCCUGGACAAGACUGACGCUCAUGUGCGAAAGCGUGGGGAGCAAACAGGGAUUAGAUACC
RNAcentral lists this ribosomal RNA (453 nucleotides) under uncultured bacterium. Its description in RNAcentral is "bacterial SSU rRNA". It matches the Rfam family "Bacterial small subunit ribosomal RNA", at positions 340 to 786 of the family's 1533-position model. The record is from RNAcentral.